Molecule: ribosomal RNA, 763 nt
Filed under: Neosycophila sp. 1215_15
Lineage: Eukaryota; Metazoa; Arthropoda; Insecta; Hymenoptera; Epichrysomallidae
Description: SSU rRNA
Rfam family: Eukaryotic small subunit ribosomal RNA
Source: RNAcentral
ACGAUCGGGACUCAUCCGAGGCCCCGAAAUCGGAAUGAGUACACUUUAAAUCCUUUAAUGAGGAUCCAUUGGAGGGCAAGUCUGGUGCCAGCAGCCGCGGUAAUUCCAGCUCCAAUAGCGUAUAUUAAAGUUGUUGCGGUUAAAAAGCUCGUAGUUGAAUCUGUGUGCCACGCUGUCGGUUCAUCGCUCGCGAUGUUUAACUGACAUGAUUGUGGGACGUCCUACCGGUGGACUUAGCCUUUCGGGGCGGUUCAGUUUAAUCCCAUCGCGGUGCUCUUAAACGAGUGUCGAGGUGGGCCGGUACGUUUACUUUGAACAAAUUAGAGUGCUCAAAGCAGGCUAUGCUAGCCUGAAUACUAGUGCAUGGAAUAAUGGAAUAGGACCUCGGUUCUAUUUUGUUGGUUUUCGGAACCCCGAGGUAAUGAUUAAUAGGGACAGAUGGGGGCAUUCGUAUUGCGACGUUAGAGGUGAAAUUCUUGGAUCGUCGCAAGACGGACAGAAGCGAAAGCAUUUGCCAAAAAUGUUUUCAUUAAUCAAGAACGAAAGUUAGAGGUUCGAAGGCGAUCAGAUACCGCCCUAGUUCUAACCAUAAACGAUGCCAGCUAGCGAUCCGCCGUAGUUCUUUCGAUGACACGGCGGGCAGCUUCCGGGAAACCAAAGCUUUUGGGUUCCGGGGGAAGUAUGGUUGCAAAGCUGAAACUUAAAGGAAUUGACGGAAGGGCACCACCAGGAGUGGAGCCUGCGGCUUAAUUUGACUCAACAC